Molecule: long non-coding RNA, 1227 nt
Organism: Gallus gallus (chicken)
Lineage: Eukaryota; Metazoa; Chordata; Aves; Galliformes; Phasianidae
Source: Ensembl
GAGGCAGGGCAUGGGUGCUGUGAGCUGGGGAGAGCUGCAGGUGUGGGACACGGUCACAUUCGGGUUAGAAAAUCCUGAGGUUUAUUUUUUCAGUGAUGGAGAAGGCACCGCCAUCCCGGGCAAAUUGCUGCCUUCAUUAAGAGCUCUUGAGAUGGGAAAUGAAUCAGUUUAAGUCACACCAGGCUGAACGUUGACUUCCAGCUCUGGGAACUCUUGAUAAGUUUGCCUGCUCGAUUGCAGAGUGGCCCCCUAUAAGAUUUCAGAGCACCAGAACGAAAUAAAACCCGUCUAAUUGCUGCCAUCUGAGCCGGAGGACUGCAAACAGAGAUGUGAAGGAGGCAGCACGGCUUGGAGCUGUAAAAUCCUCAGCACUCAUCCAUGGGUCACAACGGGGGAGGCACAAAUCUUUCCUCCAGCCCACCAAAGCGCUGUGCUCAGCGGGAAGGAGGGGCUCGAUGGAAUAUUCUGCCAUGAAGCAGAAGACUUCGCAGGGGGAAAAAAAGUGAAAAGAUACACAACAGUGGAGCUGCUUUCUUGGCUAAGCAUGAGGAAAACUGCAGGAGUCUGUGUUACUUACUCACUUGUGCAAAAUGUGCUUAGUUCCACAAAUGCAGCGGUGCCAGUCCUGCAGGUGUGUUAGCAGGUGAUAAGUGCUGUUCACGCGCUGAGUAAUGUGCUGGGGAAAGAAAUGACCACGUUUCAGAGCUGCUGUGAUAGACGUGCAUCCCUCCCAGCCAACCCCGGACUGCAAGGAGACCACGCUGCAAAGCAAUGGAUCUGGGCAGAGCUUGGCCAGGCAGGUGAUUCUGCUCUGUAGUGAGACGUUGCAGAGUGCAGCUCCCUUCAAAGGGAUUUAAAUAAUGUUGACAUCGAAUAUAAGAAUCUUACAAGGAAAUAAAAUCCCUCUCCGGGUCUGUUUGCCCUUCUGAGGGGAAAUCAAUGUUCUCAGCUCAAUAGUUUCCCGCAGCACUUAGCAGAGAUGUGCAUGUUAUUGGUAGCACCGCCCAUGAAUUUCCUCCUGCAGGUCAAGUCUUUUAAGGACUACAAACCUGCAGGGCCUUGGCCCCUUCCUGGCAGGGCAUAGGGUGUGCUAUGGGGGUACCCUGCAGGUGCUGUGGAUAUUGCAGCUCUUCAUUAAACGGGAGGAGCCCAUUGUGUUGUCCUUCAAACACCAGUAGAUUAAUGAAGACUAAUUACAGCCCAGGCCAGUGAGCACCGGGCACUGUU